AUGACGAUGCAACACAUGACGAACUAUAGGAGCCGCAGGAUGACCAAGGCGCGCAUGCUAGUGCGUAGGCGACACACAAACACCACUGAAAGCCUGCGGAGAAAACUGCAUGGGAGAUGUGCGUGGUGCAUCAAGUGCAUACAGGCCAUGACGAAGACGACCGCUAAGCAGAACGGCCCUCGUGUCCCGAUCCUUGAUAAAGAAACGAAAAGGAUGAAACUCAGCAAGGACAUUAUUAUCACGAGUAAGUUGAGGAGUGGACAACAAAGUACGUGUAGCAGAGGGUACUCUAAGGACAUUGGAAAGAUGCAAUGUAUGAAAAUUGUGUGUGAGGAGAGAAGCCUGACCAACAUGGGAGAUGCGCAUACCUGCUCCACUGGCAGUGUGGACCUGAUCAUGACCACGAUAUGGCUCCUGAGUAGACAGCUUGCCCAUCUCGCCGGUGAGGUGGUUGGUAGCUGCGGUGUCCAUAUACCAUGUGGGAUCAAUGGAAUAGGACGGAGUGCGACCGUGCUCAUGACUCGUCACCGCGGCUGCGGCCUGCUUAUCAUUCCCUUUGCCAUUAUUGCCCAUACCCAGGAAGUCUUGCUUGUAGCGAUGAUGACAGCGGGAAGCAAUAUGGCUCUCAAUGCCACACAGCUGACAGGCCUGCUGAGCGCCACAGCAUGGACAGCAGGCAACCGGCCGGUUACCGCCGGUGAUGGUCAGCGCAUUGCCCCGCGAGGCCUGCUGUGA
RNAcentral lists this ribosomal RNA (735 nucleotides) under Triticum aestivum (bread wheat). RNAcentral describes it as "partial small subunit ribosomal RNA". Lineage: Eukaryota; Viridiplantae; Streptophyta; Magnoliopsida; Poales; Poaceae. The record is from RNAcentral.